GAUGAACGCUGGCGGCGUGCCUAAUACAUGCAAGUCGAGCGAACAGACGAGGAGCUUGCUUCUCUGACGUUAGCGGCGGACGGGUGAGUAACACGUGGAUAACCUACCUAUAAGACUGGGAUAACUUCGGGAAACCGGAGCUAAUACCGGAUAAUAUAUUGAACCGCAUGGUUCAAUAGUGAAAGACGGUUUUGCUGUCACUUAUAGAUGGAUCCGCGCCGCAUUAGCUAGUUGGUAAGGUAACGGCUUACCAAGGCAACGAUGCGUAGCCGACCUGAGAGGGUGAUCGGCCACACUGGAACUGAGACACGGUCCAGACUCCUACGGGAGGCAGCAGUAGGGAAUCUUCCGCAAAGGGCGAAAGCCUGACGGAGCAACGCCGCGUGAGUGAUGAAGGUCUUCGGAUCGUAAAACUCUGUUAUUAGGGAAGAACAAAUGUGUAAGUAACUAUGCACGUCUUGACGGUACCUAAUCAGAAAGCCACGGCUAACUACGUG
RNAcentral lists this ribosomal RNA (497 nucleotides) under uncultured bacterium. RNAcentral describes it as "partial 16S ribosomal RNA". It matches the Rfam family "Bacterial small subunit ribosomal RNA", at positions 28 to 507 of the family's 1533-position model. The record is from RNAcentral.